ACGAACGCUGGCGGCGUGCUUAACACAUGCAAGUCGAACGGAAAGGCCUCUUUCGGGGGGUACUCGAGUGGCGAACGGGUGAGUAACACGUGAGUAGCCUGCCCUUGACUUUGGGAUAACUUCAGGAAACUGGGGCUAAUACCGGAUAGGAGCUCCUGCUGCAUGGUGGGGGUUGGAAAGUUUCGGCGGUUGGGGAUGGACUCGCGGCUUAUCAGCUUGUUGGUGGGGUAGUGGCUUACCAAGGCUUUGACGGGUAGCCGGCCUGAGAGGGUGACCGGCCACAUUGGGACUGAGAUACGGCCCAGACUCCUACGGGAGGCAGCGGUGGGGAAUAUUGCACAAUGGGUGGAAGCCUGAUGCAGCAACGCCGUGUGCGGGAUGACGGCCUUCGGGUUGUAAACCGCUUUCGCUCAUGACGAAGCUUUGUGUGACGGUAGUGGGUAAAGAAGCACCGGCUAACUACGUG
Molecule: ribosomal RNA, 466 nt
Filed under: uncultured bacterium
Lineage: Bacteria
Description: partial 16S ribosomal RNA
Rfam family: Bacterial small subunit ribosomal RNA
Source: RNAcentral